GGGGGUGAAAUGGUUUCGACGGGCAGUUGAAACUCAUCUUGCAUCGCGUAGUUGACCGAGAGGCUACGUUAAAAGUCGGUCAGGCUUUAAACGCCAACGAAGAAUCAUACAACGCUGUAGCCGCGUAAGCCGCUACAACCAUCUACCUGAAUAGUUGCUGCGACGAUUCAGGCUAGGUGUAACAUAAAAGCAGCUAGUGGCUAGGGGAGAUUAUCACUGUGACCCUACAUGAGUGCCUACUGUGGUUGCUGGAAACAUUGGAACUUUAGCUUUUUAUCCUGUGUUCCAAAAGAUAACAAAAAAGAUAACGAUGUAGAUGGAUGAAUGUAAAUCUGUUCGGACACGGGUUCAAUUCCCGUCACUUCCACCG
This 370-nucleotide transfer-messenger RNA is filed under the name Bacteroidales. Its description in RNAcentral is "JALNZU01 sp002842755 Standard tmRNA". It matches the Rfam family "transfer-messenger RNA". From Rfam's summary of the family: Bacterial tmRNA, also known as 10Sa RNA or SsrA, is named for its dual tRNA and mRNA-like properties. Its role is to liberate the mRNA from a stalled ribosome. The record is from RNAcentral. Lineage: Bacteria; Pseudomonadati; Bacteroidota; Bacteroidia. RNAcentral also lists the same sequence under 1 other name.